This is a small nucleolar RNA of Jaculus jaculus (lesser Egyptian jerboa), 178 nucleotides long. Lineage: Eukaryota; Metazoa; Chordata; Mammalia; Rodentia; Dipodidae. The record is from Ensembl.
UCCUCCCUCCUUUAGUUCUAGGUUCUGUUGCAGAAACUAAUGUCACAUCUUCAUAUGUGUAAGAGUAGCAGAGAAAACAAAAGAAUAAAAGCUAAACAACUGUAUGAGACAGAAAUAAAACUGAAACGAACCUCUCUUAAGUUCCUGGUCCCUUAUUCCAAGCUUUAGUACAGUAAGA